Molecule: long non-coding RNA, 683 nt
Organism: Gallus gallus (chicken)
Lineage: Eukaryota; Metazoa; Chordata; Aves; Galliformes; Phasianidae
Source: Ensembl
CAGAAACUUAAUGAGCAGAGAGAUUCAUAAUAUCUGUACAAAGGUGGUGAAAAUCUCCAUUGCAGCACUUCUGCUUCAUGCAUGUUUCACACAAGAUCACAUCCUGACUUCUAGAGCUUCUUUCCUACUUGGGGAUGAUCUCAAUUGGCAGGCAGUACUAGACCAGGCUUUAAGAACAUUCAGUUGCCUCUAGAGCUUGUCACCAGAAACAGGAUUUCAAAGCCUGUGAAAGCCAUCAUUCCCACACUGCAACACAGGCAAGGCCACUGCUGGCAUUGGAGCUGUGGUAGGAUGAGGGCAGCCGCCACAUUUAGGAAUUGCUUCCUGCUGCCUGACAUAAGCAACCAGUGGGAAGCGCCUGACAAGCCAUCAUUUCUUCUCUCCAUGAAAGACAGCCCUGUUCUGAGCCAUUCACGUCUGGUUUGUCGCUAGAACAAGAAUGUGCUCUUCAAAAUUCUGAGUUCAGCAUUUUGGAAAACUGCCUCUAUGGACACAAGAGUUGGAAGAAAAAAAGUUAUUGCACAAAGACAGUGUCUUCCUCUAUUUCUACAGCAUUAAGGGAGAGUUGCGGGGACUCAAACAGCUGAUUGCCCAAUGCUGCUUUCUCUACAACAUUCAGGUCUCUGCCAGAUUUCCAGCACAUAGACAUGACCAAGCUGUGUUUCUGCAUCAAAUGUCAGCUU